AGUGAACGCUGGCGGCGUGCCUAACACAUGCAAGUCGAACGAUGAUGGAGAGCUUGCUCUCCUGAUUAGUGGCGCACGGGUGAGUAUACCAUAGAUAAUGUACCUCUUAGUUCGGGAUAGCCACUGGAAACGGUGAUUAAUACCGGAUACUCCUUCUUGUCUUAAGGCAAGUCGGGAAAGUUUUUUCGCUAAGAGAUCAGUCUAUGUCCUAUCAGCUAGUUGGUGAGGUAAUGGCUCACCAAGGCAAUGACGGGUAUCUGGUUUGAGAGGAUGAUCAGACACACUGGAACUGAGACACGGUCCAGACUCCUACGGGAGGCAGCAGUGAGGAAUAUUGCACAAUGGAGGAAACUCUGAUGCAGCAACGCCGCGUGGAGGAUGACGCAUUUCGGUGUGUAAACUCCUUUUAAGAGGGAAGAUAAUGACGGUACCUCUUGAAUAAGCACCGGCUAACUCCGUGCCAGCCGCCGCGGUAA
Molecule: ribosomal RNA, 476 nt
Filed under: uncultured bacterium
Lineage: Bacteria
Description: partial 16S ribosomal RNA
Rfam family: Bacterial small subunit ribosomal RNA
Source: RNAcentral